AGCUUAUGGCAUUUGAUUCUGC
This 22-nucleotide non-coding RNA is filed under the name Arabidopsis thaliana (thale cress). Lineage: Eukaryota; Viridiplantae; Streptophyta; Magnoliopsida; Brassicales; Brassicaceae. The record is from RNAcentral.